This is a long non-coding RNA of Terrapene triunguis (Three-toed box turtle), 1288 nucleotides long. RefSeq lists it as uncharacterized. Lineage: Eukaryota; Metazoa; Chordata; Testudines; Emydidae. The transcript has 3 exons. The record is from RefSeq and is a predicted model, not a curated record.
ACCUCAUGCAUAUUUGAAUGGAGAGUGUGUGAUUGGGAGAGCUCUCUGAAAGUUCCAUUUUUCCACCCUCCCUAUCCCCUCCUUCAGUAAUGUGCCCAGGACCCCCCAGUCAAGGAUCAGGGACCCAUUGUUCAAGAUGCUCUGCAGACAUUUAGCAAAGAUGAGAGUUCUUGACCCAGAGAGCUCACAGUCUGACAGACAGAGUACACCAGUUGGACAAAACAACGUGGAUAAAUUGCCAGCUGGAAUCACCAAAAGACAGAUCUAUAUUUUUUCCCCCAGAGAAAUGUAUUUCCUAACAAAAUGCAUCAUGAGAACUGCAGGGAAGCAUGUUCUGAGUAAUUGGAACUGAAGACAACUGGUACUGUAGCAUAAACAGGGUUUUGCUGUAUGAGAACCCAUUAGGAAAUGAUCCCACUCUAAUAUUAAUUUCAAUUCAUAAAGCACUAGUUGACGUCCACAAGAUUAUGCACCGCGCCUUGGUUGUUAAAAUAUAAUACAAAGUAAUGUAUUUGCAAAGGACAGUCUGACAAGACAGCACAACAUGAUUAUUGUUGUUUAUUGGGCCACAAACCCCAUCCCAGCCCUUAAGAAGCAAGAUUUAAUAUUGUGCUAUAAUUUCUUCAAACUCCUGCCUUGAUGGAUUUUCAAAUUACGGCAACAUGCUUUUGAUCCUUAAGGAUAGUGUAAAGAAUAAAUAUUCUGUUGCUCAUCUGGUAAAUGUGUACCACCAAUCUCUACUCAAACUCAGUAUUUAUAAUUCGAUCCUACAUCGCUGAAAUCAAUGGGAGCUUUUCCAUUGUCUCAGGACUGGCCCUCAAUUUGCAGCUUGGGAAAUAUGAGGAAUAAGCUGGGAGCUGUUCACCUGCACUAAGAACAUAUCAAAGUUAAGUAUUAAAGAAGCUAAUUGGGAUUGUAUUCUGGUUUAGUGCUAGCUCUUAAGAAGAUAUAUAAAGGAUGGUAUGGUAUAUUAUAAAGGUUGUAUCUACAUGAGUUUUGGACUUCAGUGGUGAUGUAAUACUUUCCCGAUAGAUCCUUCAUACUACUGCUCCCACACACUGAAAUGCAGUCACUUGUGUAGUGGACUUAGGCAUCCAUUUAUGCAAAACUAUGCUUCUCAACAGACUACAGGUGAGGGUUAGGUUUUCUCCUAGUUACUUUUUUUUUUUUUUUUUAAUCAAUUUUACCAACAAGCAUCAGGAAAAGAGAAAUAAUUCACCAUCAGAGAUCAGUGCAAGAUAUGAUCUAACAUGUAUUUCUCGCUCAGUCCCAGUGAGUAUUAUUGUUA